UCCCUACGACGUUCACCCAUGGUUAAUCAUUUCAAUUGCCGCAGUCGUGCCUCUUUGUGUCUCAGCUGAACAACCGAAAACAAGUACUCCACAGAAGAAGACAGGCCCAUGGAAGUUCAUGAAUACUGGUGUCAUUUACCUAAACUUGACUACGAUGAACACAUCUGGAAUAUUGUGCAAA
Molecule: long non-coding RNA, 181 nt
Organism: Rhipicephalus microplus (southern cattle tick)
Lineage: Eukaryota; Metazoa; Arthropoda; Arachnida; Ixodida; Ixodidae
Source: RefSeq, a predicted model, not a curated record